This 396-nucleotide ribosomal RNA is filed under the name uncultured bacterium. RNAcentral's name for it is "partial 16S ribosomal RNA". It matches the Rfam family "Bacterial small subunit ribosomal RNA", at positions 523 to 918 of the family's 1533-position model. The record is from RNAcentral.
AAACGUAGGGGGCAAGCGUUGUCCGGAAUUACUGGGUGUAAAGGGCGCGUAGGCGGUUUCUUAAGUCAGGUUUGAAAGAUCGAGGCUUAACUUCGAGUGUGUACUUGAAACUGGGGAGCUUGAGUGAUGGAGAGGAAAGUGGAAUUCCCGGUGUAGCGGGGAAAUGCGUAGAUAUCGGGAGGAACACCAGUGGCGAAGGCGGCUUUCUGGCCCACAACUGACGCUGAGGCGCGAAAGCUGGGGGAGCAAACAGGAUUAGAUACCCUGGUAGUCCCAGCUGUAAACGAUGGAUACUAGGUGUGGGGGGAUCGACCCCCUCCGUGCCGCAGUUAACGCAAUAAGUAUCCCACCUGGGGAGUACGGCCGCAAGGCUGAAACUCAAAGGAAUUGACGGGG